CAGGACGAACGCUGGCGGCGUGCCUAAUACAUGCAAGUUGAGCGCUGAAGGUUGGUACUUGUACCAACUGGAUGAGCAGCGAACGGGUGAGUAACGCGUGGGGAAUCUGCCUUUGAGCGGGGGACAACAUUUGGAAACGAAUGCUAAUACCGCAUAAAAACUUUAAACACAAGUUUUAAGUUUGAAAGAUGCAAUUGCAUCACUCAAAGAUGAUCCCGCGUUGUAUUAGCUAGUUGGUGAGGUAAAGGCUCACCAAGGCGAUGAUACAUAGCCGACCUGAGAGGGUGAUCGGCCACAUUGGGACUGAGACACGGCCCAAACUCCUACGGGAGGCAGCAGUAGGGAAUCUUCGGCAAUGGACGAAAGUCUGACCGAGCAACGCCGCGUGAGUGAAGAAGGUUUUCGGAUCGUAAAACUCUGUUGGUAGAGAAGAACGUUGGUGAGAGUGGAAAGCUCAUCAAGUGACGGUAACUACCCAGAAAGGGACGGCUAACUACGUGCCAGCAGCCGCGGUAAUACGUAGGUCCCGAGCGUUGUCCGGAUUUAUUGGGCGUAAAGCGAGCGCAGGUGGUUUAUUAAGUCUGGUGUAAAAGGCAGUGGCUCAACCAUUGUAUGCAUUGGAAACUGGUAGACUUGAGUGCAGGAGAGGAGAGUGGAAUUCCAUGUGUAGCGGUGAAAUGCGUAGAUAUAUGGAGGAACACCGGUGGCGAAAGCGGCUCUCUGGCCUGUAACUGACACUGAGGCUCGAAAGCGUGGGGAGCAAACAGGAUUAGAUACCCUGGUAGUCCACGCCGUAAACGAUGAGUGCUAGAUGUAGGGAGCUAUAAGUUCUCUGUAUCGCAGCUAACGCAAUAAGCACUCCGCCG
Molecule: ribosomal RNA, 866 nt
Filed under: Lactococcus lactis subsp. lactis
Lineage: Bacteria; Bacillati; Bacillota; Bacilli; Lactobacillales; Streptococcaceae
Description: bacterial SSU rRNA
Rfam family: Bacterial small subunit ribosomal RNA
Source: RNAcentral